This is a non-coding RNA of Phrynosoma platyrhinos (Desert horned lizard), 72 nucleotides long. The record is from the annotation of a GenBank genome assembly. Lineage: Eukaryota; Metazoa; Chordata; Lepidosauria; Squamata; Phrynosomatidae.
GCCAGUGUGGUAUAAUGGUUUGAGCACUGGACUAUAAUUCCGGAGACCAAGGUUCAAAUCCCUGCUCAGACA